GAUGAAGAACGUAGCGAAACGCGAUAAGUAAUGUGAAUUGCAGAAUUCAGUGAAUCAUCGAAUCUUUGAACGCACAUUGCGCCCAUUAGUAUUCUAGUGGGCAUGCCUGUUCGAGCGUCAUUAAGUCCACUUAAGCCCUGCUUAGUGUUGGGAGACUGCUCCAGCGGUGCUACCCUGUAGCUACCCUGCAGCUCCUCAAAGACAGCGGCGGAGUUGUGGUAUCCUCUGAGCUUAGUAACUUGUUCUAGCUUUCGAGUACACCACUUCCCCUGCCGUAAAACCCUUAAUUUUUAAUGGUUGACCUCGGAUCAGGUAGGAAUACCCUCUGAACUUAAGCAUAUCAAUAAGCGGAGGA
RNAcentral lists this unclassified non-coding RNA (355 nucleotides) under soil metagenome. Its description in RNAcentral is "partial contains 5.8S ribosomal RNA, internal transcribed spacer 2, and large subunit ribosomal RNA". The stretch from base 1 to 120 matches the Rfam family "5.8S ribosomal RNA", at positions 35 to 154 of the family's 154-position model. The record is from RNAcentral.